UUUAGGGACCCCCACCACUCAGGAAGGCUGAGGCAGAAGCAUCACCUGAGGCCAGGAGCUUGGGCUGUAAGUGCGGUUGGCCUAUGGGGAGACUGUGCUAAGUUCAGCAUCAUUAUGGUGACCACAUGCUGCCUGAGGAGGGGUGAACUAGCCCGGAUGGGAAAUGCAGCAGGUCAAAACUCUUGUGCUGAUCUCUAGUGCGAAUGCAACUGUGAAUAGGCACUGUGCUCCAGCCUGGGCAACAGAGUGAGACCCUGUCUCU
Molecule: unclassified non-coding RNA, 262 nt
Organism: Rhinopithecus bieti (black snub-nosed monkey)
Lineage: Eukaryota; Metazoa; Chordata; Mammalia; Primates; Cercopithecidae
Rfam family: Metazoan signal recognition particle RNA
About the family: The signal recognition particle (SRP) is a universally conserved ribonucleoprotein. It is involved in the co-translational targeting of proteins to membranes.
Source: Ensembl